UGUAUACCCACAGGAGUCUCAGCCAGCAGCCUGUAGGUGAGACACUUGCACAUCCAUCUUUAUUGCAGCAUUAUUUACAGUAGCCAAGACAGGAAAGCAGACUAGAUCCCCAUCAACAGGGGGUGAAGAAACAACAUGUAUACAAUGAAGUUUUACUGAGAUGUAAAGAAUGAAAUCCUGCAGAUGGAACUGGAGAUCAUUAUGUGAAAUAAGUCACACAAACUACUUUGUGCUUUCUCUUAUGUGCAGAAUUGAUUUUUUUUUUUUUUUUGAAAGACCACUGGGGAUAAGAAAAGGGAUGGGGGAAGAAAAGAAAAUGACAGGAUGAAUAUGAACAAAGUAUGAUGUACAUGCAUGAAAAUGUCAGAAUGAAAAUUAGUUUGUAUAAUAUUGGCAUCCUUUUGCUUUUAAUUUCUCUAUUUUUAAACAAGGCUUUUGAUUUUGGUACUUGGAUUAAAACAGAAUCAAAGACAAUGGAGCAUUAUACCUAGAAAUGCCUUAUACCUUCACAAUCAGCUAAUCUUUGACAAGUGUGUCAAGCACAUACAUAGAAAUACAAAAAGGAUUCUUCGGUGAGUUAAGGUAUUGGGAAUCUGGGUAUUCACAGAAAGCAAGGGAAGGAAGGGGGAGAAGAAAGGAAGAAUAGAAAAGAGGAAGGGAAGGCACAGGACCUCUGACAUAUCACUUAGAAAAAUUAAAAACCGCUCAGAAAAUAAAUGCAAAUCUUGAAAUUACAAGACUCCGUGAAGAAAAUAUAGGGGAAAAUCUCUUUGAUGUGGACCUUGGUGACAGUUUGAACAUGACUAUAAAAGCUUAAGCAGCAAAUACAAAAACAAACAAGUGAGACUUCAUCAAGCCAACACCUUUGAAACAAAGGAAACAAGAAUAUUAAAAGUGCAGCCUCCAGAAUAAAAGAAAACAUUUGCAAAUCAUGCACCUGACAUGCCUGUUACAAAGAAGUCUCCUUGCUGAGUGUGGGUGUAAGGACAAAUGGUUAGCUUGUUGUUGGGGACUAUGCUGGCUUAAUAAAUUGUUAACAGCUAUUGUGAAAAACAAUAUGGAGGUAACUUAAAAUCUUACAAGUAGAAUCAUAGGGUUCACCGAUGCCAUUUCUGUAUACAUGUACAAAGAAAAUGAAACAAGCAUUUUCCUUCAUUCAUUUAUUUGUCCAUUUAUUUGUUUAUUUGGGAAAGGAUGUCAGUAAGUGUUUUCCUUGUUUUGAAUUCACACUCAUUUGUUUGUUUGAGACAGGAUCACACUGUGUAUACCUGGCUCAGUUAGAACUACUAGGCUGGCCUCACUCCUAAGAGAUCUGGCUGCCUUUGCCUCUGCCUUCUAGAUGCUGGGAUUAAAAGUAUGCAUGUGCCACCACACCUGUCCUUAUUAAUUUAUUUUUUUAAAGACAGGUUUUAUUGCUUAUAGAUGGGAGGGGGGUGCAUAUGCAGUUGCUUCACUGAGCAUGGAGGUCAAAAGAGGGUGUAGAACUUCUGAAGUUGGAGUUACAGGGAGUUGUCACCUAUCUGUUGAUGCUGUGAUCUGACCUUGGUUCCACUAAAAGAACUGCAAGUACUAUUACCUGCUGAGCCAUCUUUCCAACCUGUAAUCAUAUUUUAAUAAUCAUUACAUUACCCUGUUUAUUUCAGAAUGGCUUACAGCAGCCAUGGUGGAUGACUGACCCAGCUGAGUACCUAUAUAUGAGUGCAUAAAGGAAAAAAAAAAAGUGUAUUUCCUACUGUAUGCUACAACAGAAAAAAACUAGAAGGUACUAUAUACUAAGUGAAAUCAGCCAGAUAGAGAACACGUUGUUGUAUGGAAUCACUUCAUAUGUGUUAUCUAAAAGAAUCAAACUAAGAAAUCAAUUUGAACAUAGUAGUUGCCAAAAUUUAAGGGACAGGAAACGGGGAGAUGGCUUUUGGAAAAUGACAAGUACUCAGUUAUGAAAUGAAUUAGUUCCAAAUGUUUUUAAAGUAUUGAAAAGGUAAUAUGAUAAAUGUGUUAAUUGACUUGACUUUAAUUAUCAUUUCAUACUGUACAGAUAUAGCAAAUUAUCAUAUUGUAUUUUUUUAUAAUUUUGUCAAUCAUACCUCAGUAAGUCUAAAAAAAUGAGUAGAAAGUGAGUAAUAAAAUGUAAU
RNAcentral lists this long non-coding RNA (2132 nucleotides) under Mus musculus (house mouse). Its description in RNAcentral is "long non-coding RNA chrX:105088371-105090503". The record is from RNAcentral. Lineage: Eukaryota; Metazoa; Chordata; Mammalia; Rodentia; Muridae.